ACACUUGUGGUGCAGUGGGUCAGUGUGACCGGCUGUUAACCAGAAGGUUGGUGGUUCAAGGCCACCCAGGGAUG
Non-coding RNA from Podarcis lilfordi (Lilford's wall lizard), 74 nucleotides. The record is from the annotation of a GenBank genome assembly. NCBI's taxonomy places the organism in Eukaryota, Metazoa, Chordata, Lepidosauria, Squamata, Lacertidae.